Alligator sinensis (Chinese alligator) is the source of this 1242-nucleotide RNA transcript. It is a transcript of the gene named phosphoinositide interacting regulator of transient receptor potential channels, with no coding region annotated. The record is from RefSeq and is a predicted model, not a curated record. The transcript is spliced from 3 exons. NCBI's taxonomy places the organism in Eukaryota, Metazoa, Chordata, Crocodylia, Alligatoridae.
CACUGAUAAUUAAGAUAGAAGACAACUCCCCAAGGGUUGACCCAUUACAGCUAGGAAAAAUACUCUGGUGGUUAUUAACUUCAGUCUUAACAGCUAGUGCACAAUAGUCAAGUCUGAGCCUAUAUAAGGAAAUUUCUCUGUAUGAACAUCUCAGGACUGAAAAAUAAAUCAGCAUAUCCUGCAGUCUUUUCUGACUGACAUUCAUUUUAUACUGGCAAUACAACUUGCUUUCAGAAACCCCCAUGUGACACAAUGUCAGUCAUAAAACCACUCCCCAAUCAAGAAGUGGCUUCACCACCAUCUGAUUCUCCAUCUCUUGUAAGGAGAGUAAUGAGAAAUGAUGACACCAGCACUGUAGUCAGAGAAGAGAGUCCAUGGGUUUAUUAUAGCAAACCUGUCACACUGGUUGUUAUCGGAGGACUCGUCUUCUUCAGUGGUGUUGUCCUUGCUGCACUGCACUUCACUAAACAUGAAGUCCCAUAUGCUCUUGGGCCUGUAUGUCUUUCUGCCGGGCUCAUGUUUGUAGUCAUGGGAGCGGUGUGGAUUCCAAUCAUCAGACGGACAGUCAGAUGCAAGGGCCUCCUGAGAAGGCAGGCACGAAAAGCUGCAGCUGCAAGCGGUUCCUGUGCCUGAGGACCUGUGCUAUUUGCCCUUUGUUAAGGGUGUCAAAUGGGUUAAACUUUUUGGCACUGCAGCAGUUUGUAGAAAAGGCAAAGAUGUGUCCACAGAAUUGAAAUACAUAUCAAACCAAUGCAAUCUUUUCAUGCUGGUUCUACAAUCAAUGGUUUUAGGGGGUUUUUUUGUUGUGUUUUUUUGGGGGGAGGGGGUGUUUGUUCCUACUCCUGUAUUGAAAAAUAAAGAUUCCAGUCCAGCCGUAGGUACGUGUGCGUGUCCAACCCCGUCUGGCUGCCGUAUUUUCUGAAUUACUGGGACCAUCCUCUUUAACCCAGCUUGCUUUUGUGCACAUGCCGUAUUUUGUCCCUUCCACGUGUAGCUGAAGCCCACUGACCAUCUCUCAGACGUCCCUGACCAAGCACGUCGCUGCUCCCGUGCCGUCCCGCUUCAGGCCCGCGUGGGGCGGCAAGAGCGCGCUGUUGCUCGCCCGGCACAGCCCCGGGACGGGCUGCCCAGGCUCUGCGCCGGCAGCAGGGCCAGGAGGAGACGCUGCCCCCGCACGUGGGCGAGGCCUCGGGCGCGUGUGCAGCGGUGCCCGGGGCUGGAGAGGCCGGGGCCGGGCUCGGG